Molecule: unclassified non-coding RNA, 437 nt
Filed under: Axyris hybrida
Lineage: Eukaryota; Viridiplantae; Streptophyta; Magnoliopsida; Caryophyllales; Amaranthaceae
Description: sequence contains 18S rRNA gene, ITS1, 5.8S rRNA gene, ITS2, 28S rRNA gene
Rfam family: 5.8S ribosomal RNA (bases 132-287)
Source: RNAcentral
CGGGGGGCUGCUCCUCGGCACAAUAACGAACCCCGGCGCGGUAUGCGCCAAGGAACAUGAAUACAAGCGUGCCCUUCCUCGCUCGGUUCGCCGGGCAAGGGGGUGGCACCAAGUCGUAUAUAACAUUAAACGACUCUCGGCAACGGAUAUCUCGGCUCUCGCAUCGAUGAAGAACGUAGCGAAAUGCGAUACUUGGUGUGAAUUGCAGAAUCCCGUGAACCAUCGAGUCUUUGAACGCAAGUUGCGCCCGAAGCCUUCGGGCCGAGGGCACGCCUGCCUGGGCGUCACGCAUCGCGUCUCCCCCACCCCACCCUGCGUGGGAAGGGGGAGGAGGAUGGCCUCCCAUGCCUCACCGGGCGUGGAUGGCCUAAAUAAGGAGCCCCAGGCCACGAGCUGUUGCGGCGUUAGGUGGUAGACAAGGCUUUUAGCCUCGAAUG